UAUUUUGCAUCUCCUAAAAUAUAAAACGUACCUGUAUAAAUGUUUUGUAGUUGUGUGGCAGUAGGAGUGUGUACAAAUGUGAAUCUGUUUUGCCAUGCUGUGCGAACCUCUUCCUGCUCGGAGCAGCAAGCACACAAGUGUGGAUCGCUUUUACAAGUCUACGAAUUUUGGCCCUCUUUUGACGGGGGGUGGGGUCAUAGGGUGAGAGCCAAUCAAAACAUCGCUUACUGCCAACCAAUCAGGCUUCGCCAGGACUGACUGAAAACAACGUGGAUCUAACCACAGCACAGGCAGGCAGCAGAAGGACGCAAUCUCUCUUUCUUGUGAAGACCGAUAUGGAGGAGUCACACACAAUCAGGUUCGGGUGGUUAAAAAUUUGCUCCUCCAUCCCCACCACCACCAGGUUGGUCCAGUCUACCUGUCUGCGGGGUUAAAGGUCCGCUUCCUGCUGCACAGCUACAUCAGGCUCUACUGGCGCAAGAAGACCCGGGCUGAUGAUUGGACCUACACCAAAGACUGUCUACCUUCUGUUAAAUGCAUAGUCAAUCAUCUUCUCAUUAAAUCGCAUUUAACUAA
Engraulis encrasicolus (European anchovy) is the source of this 576-nucleotide long non-coding RNA. RefSeq lists it as uncharacterized. The transcript is spliced from 2 exons. The record is from RefSeq and is a predicted model, not a curated record. NCBI's taxonomy places the organism in Eukaryota, Metazoa, Chordata, Actinopteri, Clupeiformes, Engraulidae.